Long non-coding RNA from Solanum lycopersicum (tomato), 543 nucleotides. RefSeq lists it as uncharacterized. NCBI's taxonomy places the organism in Eukaryota, Viridiplantae, Streptophyta, Magnoliopsida, Solanales, Solanaceae. The record is from RefSeq and is a predicted model, not a curated record.
GUGCAGCCACUAACCAAUGUUUCCAUUUAAUUAAAGAUUUGGUAGUUUUGUUCGAAAAUUAUUAGUACAAAAUAUACUGUAUUAUGUAAGAGAGUAGAGAAAUCACAUGGAGAUGGUGGGCUACUUGAAAAUAUCAGCUAAUGCAAACUGAAACAACCAAUCGUUGAGAAUCUGACACGCACUUGACGACGGAACAACAUAGAAGAAUUAUAUACAAAUUUUAGAAGGAGAAUGAGUAGAGAAGCUAACCAAGAAUUGGUAAUGGGGCUGGUGGUGAUUCUGUUGGAAGUUCAUCAGAGAGCUUCUUUGAAUCCUCUGACAUGAUUAAGAUAAAAGAAACUAUAUUCUUUAGAGAUUAUUUAUCUUUCUCUCAGUCUAUGGUAUCUUGAUUUCAUCAAUUCUAUUUCUUGCUUACAAUAAUUGGGAAUUAAUAAUGGAGUAAUAUUAAUAAUAAUAUCUACUGCCGGCCAACAAGUUGUACCCACUUAUACUUUUUCAAGGUACAUCUGAUCUUGCAGAUUGUAUACCUACUAAUCAAACUGA